RNAcentral lists this ribosomal RNA (254 nucleotides) under uncultured bacterium. Its description in RNAcentral is "partial 16S ribosomal RNA". It matches the Rfam family "Bacterial small subunit ribosomal RNA", at positions 524 to 776 of the family's 1533-position model. The record is from RNAcentral.
UACGGAGGGUGCAAGCGUUAUCCGGAUUCACUGGGUUUAAAGGGUGCGUAGGCGGGCAGGUAAGUCCGUGGUGAAAUCUCUGAGCUUAACUCAGAAAACUGCCAUGGAUACUAUUUGUCUUGAAUAUUGUGGAGGUAAGCGGAAUAUGUCAUGUAGCGGUGAAAUGCUUAGAUAUCAAGAGGAACACCUGAGGCGAAGGCGGGUUGCUAGGCUGAUACUGACGCUGAGGCGCGAAAGCCAGGGGAGCAAACGGG